Prunus persica (peach) is the source of this 714-nucleotide long non-coding RNA. RefSeq lists it as uncharacterized. The record is from RefSeq and is a predicted model, not a curated record. The transcript is spliced from 2 exons. Lineage: Eukaryota; Viridiplantae; Streptophyta; Magnoliopsida; Rosales; Rosaceae.
UCUCACUAAAGCUCGAGGGACCAUGACUUGCAGUUUAAGUUUAUGGAUGACUAUAUAUAUAUAUAUGUAGUAUUACGGGAUUAGAAAGGUGGGUGGAUGAUAUUAAUAUAGAAACUAGAAAGUUACCGCAUCGGUCCAUCUUUGAAGUUGAAGGAGUAAUUGAGAGAUGGGACUGAUCUCAUGCUUUUUCAUCCGUCUUUUCACGUUGUUCAUAUUGAUCGUCUCUUCAUUCUUAGUCAUGCAAUCAUCUCAUUACGUUCACGCAGAUCCGAACCCGAGAAAAUUAAGGAUCAUACCAAGUCCACCCCCUCCUCCGAGUUCAGCCGCAGUACCACAUCAACAUGGCUAAUUUGGGACAUCCAUCUUACUAGUCUGGUUUAAUUAAUGAUUACGUAAAGUUUCUCUUCAGUUUAAAGAGAAAAUAUUACAUAAAGUAAUUGCUUGGAAUACAAUUUUUUACUUGUGUUACAUUAUUUCAUAUUGUCACCCUACUCAUUUUGUUUAUCAUUUGUGCUUAAGUAGGUUCAUAAUUAGUUAUCAGUGGGGUAUAACUUAUUUGGUUAAGCCCUUUUACUUCUACCUGUGCAAGCAGAGAUUUGAAACUCUCAGAUACCUAAUGAAUAUUUGUGUAAACCCUCUCUCCCCUAAUCUCUUGUAUUGUACUAAAGAAAAGUGUUAAUAAUUAGUUUAGCUAUUAAAAGUAUUGUUCCUAUA